UACGAACGCUGGCGGCGUGCUUAACACAUGCAAGUCGAACGGAAAGGCCCUGCUUUUGUGGGGUGCUCGAGUGGCGAACGGGUGAGUAACACGUGAGUAACCUGCCCUUGACUUUGGGAUAACUUCAGGAAACUGGGGCUAAUACCGGAUAGGAGCUCCUGCUGCAUGGUGGGGGUUGGAAAGUUUCGGCGGUUGGGGAUGGACUCGCGGCUUAUCAGCUUGUUGGUGGGGUAGUGGCUUACCAAGGCUUUGACGGGUAGCCGGCCUGAGAGGGUGACCGGCCACAUUGGGACUGAGAUACGGCCCAGACUCCUACGGGAGGCAGCAGUGGGGAAUAUUGCACAAUGGGCGGAAGCCUGAUGCAGCAACGCCGCGUGCGGGAUGACGGCCUUCGGGUUGUAAACCACUUUCGCCUGUGACGAAGCGUGAGUGACGGUAAUGGGUAAAGAAGCACCGGCUAACUACGUG
Molecule: ribosomal RNA, 468 nt
Filed under: uncultured bacterium
Lineage: Bacteria
Description: partial 16S ribosomal RNA
Rfam family: Bacterial small subunit ribosomal RNA
Source: RNAcentral